UGAUUUAUAGGACUUGGGUUCAUGAACUUGGGUAUGGUUCGUGGUGUUUCGUUCACGAACUUGGUUCAUGGUUUAUGAAAUUUGGUUCGUGAACUUGGGUAUGGUUCAUGGUGUUUAGUUCAUGAACUUGGUUCAUGGUUUAUGCGAUUUGGUUCAUGAACUUGAGUAUGAAUCUUAGUUGGAAGUCAGGUUUGGGUUCUAUUUGUGGUCCGGAUUGGAUUUGAAUUCGGGAUUUUAUUUGUGGAUUGGAUUGGUUUUGGGUUUAUCUGUGGACUGUAUAUGCUUUUGGGUUUUAUUUGUAGACUUGGUUUUGGUUUGGAAAUUUUGAUUUGGGUUUUGGGUUUGGGUUUUUUAUUUUGGUUUGGAUUUUAUUUGUGGACUUGACAUGGGUUACGGGUUUGGGUUUUGGUUUUGGGUUUGUAUUUGGGUUUGGAUUUGGGUUUUGGUUUUGGUUUUUUAUUUGGAAUUUGGUUUUUUUUUUGUGGACUUGGUUUGGGUUUGGAUUUGUGUUUUAUUUGUGAACUUGAUUUUCUUCUCAAUUCUAUUUCGGGUCCGAGGAAAUUCUCUUUUGAUUUUGCAAUUCGAUUUGGGGUUCGAAAAAAUUCCUUUUUGAUUUUGCAAUUUGAUUUGGGGUCUGAAAAAAUCCCCUUUUGAUUCUAAUUUGAUUUGGGUCCGAAGAAAUCUCCUUUUGAUUUCGCAAUUUGAUUUGGGGUCCGAAAAAAUUUUCGUUUGAUUUCGAUUUGGGGUUCGAAGAAAUCCCCGUUUGAUUUCGCAAUUUGAUUUGGGGUCCGAAGAAAUCCUCGUUUGACUUCGAUUUGGGGUCCGAAGAAAUUUCCCUUUUGAUCUUGAUUUGGGGUUCAAAGAA
This 865-nucleotide long non-coding RNA is filed under the name Ananas comosus (pineapple). RNAcentral's name for it is "long non-coding RNA (ACOM_LNC036034)". The record is from RNAcentral. Lineage: Eukaryota; Viridiplantae; Streptophyta; Magnoliopsida; Poales; Bromeliaceae.